Quercus lobata is the source of this 194-nucleotide long non-coding RNA. RefSeq lists it as uncharacterized. The record is from RefSeq and is a predicted model, not a curated record. NCBI's taxonomy places the organism in Eukaryota, Viridiplantae, Streptophyta, Magnoliopsida, Fagales, Fagaceae. The transcript is spliced from 4 exons.
UGAUGUUAUAGCCUCCAGAGCUGCUGCAAAGGAAGGCAAGCCAUUGGACGUGGAGGUAAAUGAACUUGAAGAUCUUCAUAGCCGUUCUCAUGAAGUUGACGCCUCCGGAAAAUGGAAUCCUCUAGGAUUUGUUAAACUUACCGGUGCUGCUGCUGCAAAGGAAGGCAAGCCAUUGGCUAUACCUUCAUGACCUU